AGGUAAGAUGGCUGAAGCAGAAGCGUCGGAUUGUAGCUCCGCUCAUAGAGGUUUGAGUCCUCUUCUUCCCA
Molecule: transfer RNA, 71 nt
Filed under: Craugastor ranoides
Lineage: Eukaryota; Metazoa; Chordata; Amphibia; Anura; Craugastoridae
Description: tRNA-Tyr
Rfam family: tRNA
About the family: Transfer RNA (tRNA) molecules are approximately 80 nucleotides in length. Their secondary structure includes four short double-helical elements and three loops (D, anti-codon, and T loops).
Source: RNAcentral